GGCCCCGUAGCUCAACUUGGUUAGAGUACCAGACUGUCGAUCUGGGUGUUGAGGGUUCGAGUCCCUUCGGGGUCGCCA
This 78-nucleotide transfer RNA is filed under the name Planctomycetota bacterium. RNAcentral describes it as "tRNA-Asp". It matches the Rfam family "tRNA". From Rfam's summary of the family: Transfer RNA (tRNA) molecules are approximately 80 nucleotides in length. Their secondary structure includes four short double-helical elements and three loops (D, anti-codon, and T loops). Lineage: Bacteria; Pseudomonadati; Planctomycetota. The record is from RNAcentral.